AGAGUUUGAUCCGUGGCUCAGAACGAACGCUGGCGGCAUGCCUAACACAUGCAAGUCGAACGAAGCCUUCGGGCUUAGUGGCGCACGGGUGCGUAACACGUGGGAAUCUGCCCUUCGGGUUCGGAAUAACAGUUAGAAAUGACUGCUAAUACCGGAUGAUGACGAAAGUCCAAAGAUUUAUCGCCGAAGGAUGAGCCCGCGUAGGAUUAGGUAGUUGGUAGGGUAAUGGCCUACCAAGCCGACGAUCCUUAGCUGGUCUGAGAGGAUGAUCAGCCACACUGGGACUGAGACACGGCCCAGACUCCUACGGGAGGCAGCAGUGGGGAAUAUUGGACAAUGGGCGAAAGCCUGAUCCAGCAAUGCCGCGUGAGUGAUGAAGGCCUUAGGGUUGUAAAGCUCUUUACCAGGGAUGAUAAUGACAGUACCUGGAGAAUAAGCUCCGGCUAACUCCGUG
Molecule: ribosomal RNA, 454 nt
Filed under: uncultured bacterium
Lineage: Bacteria
Description: bacterial SSU rRNA
Rfam family: Bacterial small subunit ribosomal RNA
Source: RNAcentral